Molecule: long non-coding RNA, 2141 nt
Organism: Homo sapiens (human)
Lineage: Eukaryota; Metazoa; Chordata; Mammalia; Primates; Hominidae
Product: long intergenic non-protein coding RNA 486
Source: Ensembl
CCUGUGCCAACAUUGUGUUCUGUGAAAAGAGAGUCCUGCCAAGGGCUACGAGGCAGAAAACUGAUAUUAUUAAAGUGGUCUUCUGAACGCAACUCUCUGCAAGGUCCUAAGGGUUCUAAGUUGAAUAAGGCCCACUCCCUCCCUUCCAGGACUUUAGCUGAGGUUGGUUGGGGCAGAAGUCGGGCAAGACUCAUCGGAACGGAUUAACAGAGACAGAAUCCAGAGGCAACGGGGUGAAUUCCAAGUAUAGAAAAGACACACUUGGUCUGAGGGUAUGUUUCAGCUCAGGCAUGCUGCCAUCAGGACCACGUAAAGCUGGAUUUUUCUACGCUAGUCCAUUUGCACGAUCUGGACUCAGAAGAGAUUUAAGUUUCAAAUCUGGCUUUGUCAGUUAAUGCUUGUGGGAUCUCAACCACGUCACUGACUUCUCUGAGCAUGCUUCCAUAUUUCUACAAAGGAAACAAUAGGUGACUCUGCUGAGUUGAGCACUUGCGAGUACCAAGCAGUAAGUGUUUUACACCUAUUUACUCAUUUAAUCCUCCUGAAAAUCCGUGUGACACCUGUGUUGUUAUUACCCCCAUUUGACAGGUGAGGACCUGAGGCACAGAUGCUAACCAGCUUGCUGGAGAUCACACACUCAUGAGUGGCAGAGUGGGGCUUGGAACCGGGUAGCCUGGCUCUGGAGCCCUCACUCCAUCCACACACCAUGCUGGGACCCAGUCGAGUGACCAGCAGACCGGUUGUGUGGGUUAGGUGGAAUGGUGGAUAUAAACCACACAGCCCAGCUCCUGACCCAUGCUGGGCCCUCAGUAAGUUACUACUUUCAUUAUUAUACAUGCGUAGAUGAAAGUUGGGUGGUAAUAGUGAUUUUCCCUAAGAUGAUGGAACUUUACGUGCCUUUGCCUUUUCUUACCUGUAUAUUCCUGAAAUCAACAGGUUCUACUUUUGUCACAAGAAGAGAGGAAAUAAUUGUACUUUUUUUUUUUUGAGAUGGAGUCUCAAUCUGUCACCCAGGCUGGGGUGCAGUGGCACAAUCUCGGCUCACUGCAACCUCCGCCUCCUGGGUUCACGCCAUUCUCCUGCCUCAGCCUCCCGAGUAGCUGGGACUACAGGCGCCCGCCACCACGCCUGGCUAAUUUUUUGUAUUUUUUAGUAGAGACGGGGUUUCACCAUGUUAGCCCCUUGAUAUGGUUAGGCCUUGUGUCCCCACCCAAAUCUCAUCUUGAAUUAUAAUCCCUGUAAUUCUCAUAAGCUUCACAUGUCAAGGGAGAGACCAGGUGGAGGUAAUUGAAUCAUGGGGGUAGUUCCCCAUGCUGUUCUUGUGAUAGUGAGUUCUCACGAGAUCUGAUGAUUUUAUACGUGUUUGGUAGUUCCUCCUGAAUUCCUUCUCAUUCCUGCCGCCUUCUGAAGAAGGUGCCUUGCUUCCCCUUCACCUUCUGCCGUGAUUGUAACUUUCCUGAGGCCUCCCCAGCCAUGCUGAACUGUGAGUCAAUUAAAACUCUUCCCUUUAUAAAUUUAUAAAUUUAUAAAUUCUUUAUAGCAGUGUGAAACGGGACUAAUACACCCUUCUUGACUUGCUUAUGUGACUUGCUUAUGUGACUUGCUCAUUUCCAGCAUGAGGCAGGAAAGGAUAGAAGCCUUUCAGAGCCUGAGCCAAGUUCCUCCUCACAGAAGCACAGAGGACACUUACUCCAUCUCUGAAAAAGCUGCCCACACCCCACCUCCAUCCAGCCUUCCAAAAGCCACCACGAAUGACCCGUAGGAGGGGCAGAGUGUGCCACUUGCUACGGACCAGAACCUCUGGGGAGCGGGGAUCAUCUCUGUGUCUCUCUGCUUCAACUGCAUUUAAAAUGAACAUUCUUAAUGAUAAACCUUUCCGUGUGUAAAGAAGGGCGUGGAAAAAUGUAUGUACUGGAGACUCGGGUAAUGACUUUCUAAGUGUGGAAAAUUUUCCCCCAAAGUGUUUCCAAAUAUAGAAAAGUCACAUAAUAAAUGAUGAGGGCUCAUAAACCUUUCUGGCAGCAGUUGCAGGGGUCAGAACAAGGAAGAAGGAAUUCCCAGCUCCUAGGGCCUCGCAUCCCACACUGUCUUCUGGGCUACUGUGCAACCAAUGGUUCCGUAUCUGUACGUACCCAGGGGCU